This 421-nucleotide ribosomal RNA is filed under the name uncultured bacterium. RNAcentral describes it as "bacterial SSU rRNA". It matches the Rfam family "Bacterial small subunit ribosomal RNA", at positions 11 to 417 of the family's 1533-position model. The record is from RNAcentral.
GUUUGAUCCUGGCUCAGAGCGAACGUUAGCGGCAGGCUUAACACAUGCAAGUCGAGCGAGAAAGGGGCUUCGGCUCCGAGUAAAGCGGCGGACGGGUGCGUAACACGUGGAUAAUCUGCCUCGUGGCGGGGGACAACAGUCCGAAAGGACUGCUAAUACCGCAUGUCAGGUCGGAAACUCCGGUUUCUGACGAAAAAGAGGGCACCCGCAAGGGGCUCUCACCACGAGAUGAGUCCGCGUCCCAUCAGCUAGUUGGCGGUGUAAUAGACCACCAAGGCUUAGACGGGUAGCUGGUCUGAGAGGAUGACCAGCCACACUGGGACUGAGACACGGCCCAGACUCCUACGGGAGGCAGCAGUGGGGAAUAUUGGACAAUGGGCGAAAGCCUGAUCCAGCCAUGCCGCGUGAGUGAUGAAGGCCU